UUAAGCGACUAAGCGUACACGGUGGAUGCCCUGGCAGUCAGAGGCGAUGAAGGACGUGCUAAUCUGCGAUAAGCGUCGGUAAGGUGAUAUGAACCGUUAUAACCGGCGAUUUCCGAAUGGGGAAACCCAGUGUGAUUCGUCACACUAUCAUUAACUGAAUCCAUAGGUUAAUGAGGCGAACCGGGGGAACUGAAACAUCUAAGUACCCCGAGGAAAAGAAAUCAACCGAGAUUCCCCCAGUAGCGGCGAGCGAACGGGGAGCAGCCCAGAGCCUGAAUCAGUGUGUGUGUUAGUGGAAGCGUCUGGAAAGGCGCGCGAUACAGGGUGACAGCCCCGUACACAAAAAUGCACAUACUGUGAGCUCGAUGAGUAGGGCGGGACACGUGGUAUCCUGUCUGAAUAUGGGGGGACCAUCCUCCAAGGCUAAAUACUCCUGACUGACCGAUAGUGAACCAGUACCGUGAGGGAAAGGCGAAAAGAACCCCGGCGAGGGGAGUGAAAAAGAACCUGAAACCGUGUACGUACAAGCAGUGGGAGCACGCUUAGGCGUGUGACUGCGUACCUUUUGUAUAAUGGGUCAGCGACUUAUAUUCUGUAGCAAGGUUAACCGAAUAGGGGAGCCGAAGGGAAACCGAGUCUUAACUGGGCGUUAAGUUGCAGGGUAUAGACCCGAAACCCGGUGAUCUAGCCAUGGGCAGGUUGAAGGUUGGGUAACACUAACUGGAGGACCGAACCGACUAAUGUUGAAAAAUUAGCGGAUGACUUGUGGCUGGGGGUGAAAGGCCAAUCAAACCGGGAGAUAGCUGGUUCUCCCCGAAAGCUAUUUAGGUAGCGCCUCGUGAAUUCAUCUCCGGGGGUAGAGCACUGUUUCGGCAAGGGGGUCAUCCCGACUUACCAACCCGAUGCAAACUGCGAAUACCGGAGAAUGUUAUCACGGGAGACACACGGCGGGUGCUAACGUCCGUCGUGAAGAGGGAAACAACCCAGACCGCCAGCUAAGGUCCCAAAGUCAUGGUUAAGUGGGAAACGAUGUGGGAAGGCCCAGACAGCCAGGAUGUUGGCUUAGAAGCAGCCAUCAUUUAAAGAAAGCGUAAUAGCUCACUGGUCGAGUCGGCCUGCGCGGAAGAUGUAACGGGGCUAAACCAUGCACCGAAGCUGCGGCAGCGACGCUUAUGCGUUGUUGGGUAGGGGAGCGUUCUGUAAGCCUGCGAAGGUGUGCUGUGAGGCAUGCUGGAGGUAUCAGAAGUGCGAAUGCUGACAUAAGUAACGAUAAAGCGGGUGAAAAGCCCGCUCGCCGGAAGACCAAGGGUUCCUGUCCAACGUUAAUCGGGGCAGGGUGAGUCGACCCCUAAGGCGAGGCCGAAAGGCGUAGUCGAUGGGAAACAGGUUAAUAUUCCUGUACUUGGUGUUACUGCGAAGGGGGGACGGAGAAGGCUAUGUUGGCCGGGCGACGGUUGUCCCGGUUUAAGCGUGUAGGCUGGUUUUCCAGGCAAAUCCGGAAAAUCAAGGCUGAGGCGUGAUGACGAGGCACUACGGUGCUGAAGCAACAAAUGCCCUGCUUCCAGGAAAAGCCUCUAAGCAUCAGGUAACAUCAAAUCGUACCCCAAACCGACACAGGUGGUCAGGUAGAGAAUACCAAGGCGCUUGAGAGAACUCGGGUGAAGGAACUAGGCAAAAUGGUGCCGUAACUUCGGGAGAAGGCACGCUGAUACGUAGGUGAAGUCCCUCGCGGAUGGAGCUGAAAUCAGUCGAAGAUACCAGCUGGCUGCAACUGUUUAUUAAAAACACAGCACUGUGCAAACACGAAAGUGGACGUAUACGGUGUGACGCCUGCCCGGUGCCGGAAGGUUAAUUGAUGGGGUCAGCGCAAGCGAAGCUCUUGAUCGAAGCCCCGGUAAACGGCGGCCGUAACUAUAACGGUCCUAAGGUAGCGAAAUUCCUUGUCGGGUAAGUUCCGACCUGCACGAAUGGCGUAAUGAUGGCCAGGCUGUCUCCACCCGAGACUCAGUGAAAUUGAACUCGCUGUGAAGAUGCAGUGUACCCGCGGCAAGACGGAAAGACCCCGUGAACCUUUACUAUAGCUUGACACUGAACAUUGAGCCUUGAUGUGUAGGAUAGGUGGGAGGCUUUGAAGUGUGGACGCCAGUCUGCAUGGAGCCGGCCUUGAAAUACCACCCUUUAAUGUUUGAUGUUCUAACGUUGACCCGUGAUCCGGGUUGCGGACAGUGUCUGGUGGGUAGUUUGACUGGGGCGGUCUCCUCCUAAAGAGUAACGGAGGAGCACGAAGGUUGGCUAAUCCUGGUCGGACAUCAGGAGGUUAGUGCAAUGGCAUAAGCCAGCUUGACUGCGAGCGUGACGGCGCGAGCAGGUGCGAAAGCAGGUCAUAGUGAUCCGGUGGUUCUGAAUGGAAGGGCCAUCGCUCAACGGAUAAAAGGUACUCCGGGGAUAACAGGCUGAUACCGCCCAAGAGUUCAUAUCGACGGCGGUGUUUGGCACCUCGAUGUCGGCUCAUCACAUCCUGGGGCUGAAGUAGGUCCCAAGGGUAUGGCUGUUCGCCAUUUAAAGUGGUACGCGAGCUGGGUUUAGAACGUCGUGAGACAGUUCGGUCCCUAUCUGCCGUGGGCGCUGGAGAACUGAGGGGGGCUGCUCCUAGUACGAGAGGACCGGAGUGGACGCAUCACUGGUGUUCGGGUUGUCAUGCCAAUGGCACUGCCCGGUAGCUAAAUGCGGAAGAGAUAAGUGCUGAAAGCAUCUAAGCACGAAACUUGCCCCGAGAUGAGUUCUCCCUGACUCCUUGAGAGUCCUGAAGGAACGUUGAAGACGACGACGUUGAUAGGCCGGGUGUGUAAGCGCAGCGAUGCGUUGAGCUAACCGGUACUAAUGAACCGUGAGGCUUAACCUU
This 2902-nucleotide ribosomal RNA is filed under the name Escherichia coli DEC15A. Its description in RNAcentral is "bacterial LSU rRNA". It matches the Rfam family "Bacterial large subunit ribosomal RNA". The record is from RNAcentral. Lineage: Bacteria; Pseudomonadati; Pseudomonadota; Gammaproteobacteria; Enterobacterales; Enterobacteriaceae.